This 1102-nucleotide long non-coding RNA is filed under the name Numida meleagris (helmeted guineafowl). Its description in RNAcentral is "lncRNA (ENSNMEG00000003889.1)". The record is from RNAcentral. Lineage: Eukaryota; Metazoa; Chordata; Aves; Galliformes; Numididae.
AUCCAGGACCCUACAGACUCUAUGGGGCCAUGUGGGGCCAUCCAGGACCCUACAGACUCUACGGGGCUCUACAAACUCUAUGAGGCAUUACAGGUGCUAUGGGACUCUACAGAUCCUAUGGGGUCCUACAGAGCCCUAUGGGGCACUACAGAUCCUAUGGGGCACUACAGAGCUCUGUGGGGCACUACAGAUCCUAUGGGGCACUACAGAGCCCUAUGGGGCACUACAGAUUCCUAUGGGGCACUACAGAGCCCUAUGGCACCCUACAGAUUCCUAUGGGGCACUACAGAGCCCUACAGGACCCUACAGAUUCCUAUGGGGCCCUACAGAUCCUAUGGGGCACUACAGAGCUCUGCAGGUCACUACAGAUUCUAUGGGGCCUUACAGAGCCCUACGGCACCCUACAGAUUCCUAUGGGGCACUACAGAGCCCUAUGGGGCCCUACAGAUCCUAUGGGGCACUACAGAGCUCUGUGGGGCACUACAGAUUCUAUGGGGCACUACAGAGCCCUAUGGGGCACUACAGAUCCUAUGGGACCCUACAGAUUCCUAUGGGGCGCUACAAAGCCCUAUGGGGCCCUAAAUGACCCUACAGAUUCCUAUGGGGCCUUACAGAGCCCUAUGGCACCCUACCGAUUCCUAUGGGCACUACAGAUCCUAUGGGGCACUACAGAUCCUAUGGGGCGCUACAGAGCCCUAUGGGGCCGCUAUGGUGUCUCUGUAGGGUAGCUAUGGGGUCUCCGUGGGGCAGCUAUGGGGCUACUAUGGAGCCACUAGGGGGUCUCUAUGGGGUCUCUGUGGGGCAGCUAUGGAGCCACUAGGGGGUCACUGUGGGGUCUCUGUGGGGCCGCUAUGGGGUCUCUGUGGGGCAGCUAUGGGGCCGCUAUGGGGCAGCUAUGGGGCUCACCCGAGGCGUUGGGGUGCAGGCGCUCGUCGUUCAGUGGGGCCAGGAAGUCGCUGCUGUUGAGGUACAGGUCCCGGUGGUGGGGGUCUGUGGGGGGGGGGGACCCCAAAUCAGCCCCACGGCGACGCCCCGCACCCCCACCAUGGGGUUUGGGGGUCCCAGGGGAGGGUUUGGGGGUCCCCCCCCCGGAUAUUUUGGG